This 324-nucleotide ribosomal RNA is filed under the name uncultured Pseudomonadota bacterium. Its description in RNAcentral is "bacterial SSU rRNA". It matches the Rfam family "Bacterial small subunit ribosomal RNA", at positions 30 to 351 of the family's 1533-position model. Lineage: Bacteria; Pseudomonadati; Pseudomonadota. The record is from RNAcentral.
AUUGAACGCUGGCGGCAUGCCUAACACAUGCAAGUCGAACGUGAAAGAGGGGCAACUCUCGAGUAAAGUGGCGGACGGGUGAGUAAUACGUAGGAAUCUGCCCUAGAGUGGGGGAUAACCUGCCGAAAGGCGGGCUAAUACCGCAUAAUCUCUAUGGAGAAAAGGUGCCCCGUAGUAAUACGGGGUUUCGCUUUGGGAUGAGCCUACGUCGGAUUAGCUAGUUGGUAGGGUAAAAGCCUACCAAGGCAACAAUCCGUAGCUGGUCUGAGAGGACGAUCAGCCACACUGGAACUGAGACACGGUCCAGACUCCUACGGGUGGCUG